UUGAGGUGUACACACACAGUUACACUUCAUGGAGUUGCAUCCAGCCAAGUAUCCAUGUUCUUCUUGUGAAGAGGCAGAGAAAAUCACCUCUCCCAAGAAUUUCCACCUUCUGACCAAGGGAAAUGUGUCCUGAAGAGCUGUACGCAGAUGGGAGGCAACUUGUUUGCUUGUUCUGCUGCUAGAGCAUUGAUUUAAUUAGAAGACAGGCUGUGGGUGGCCAUGUGCAGACAAAGAAGCACCAGACAGAGCCCAGUUAGCCUGGGACAGUAAAAGUAAGUUACGCUCUUUUAAAACACUUUUUUUUUUUUUUUUGAGUACUGAUGCUGAUUCUUGCCUUUAGUACUGAGGGGCAACUUGUAACUUACUGAUUGUGUUUACACAUUAGGUACAUCUGUUCUUUUUCUAAGACCCUAGAGAUAAAAUGUGCUUUCUAGCACUGAGUACCUGCUUUAGUGGAAAAGCAGUGAUCCCCACCCCCAAUUUUUUUUUUUUUUUUAAGAAUAAAAAGGAAACUCAAUCAUUACAUUUUUAGAUUAAUUUUACACUGCACAAAAAGCCUGUAUUAGUUUCUGACCAAGUGAAAAUAUGUUAAGUGCAGAGUUUGUCAUGUUUAUUUUGUUCUGAUGGGAACAUGAAGACUUGUUUUAGCCUUUUCCAGCCAUUUCUUGAUGAGCAGUGUUGACCUCAUCAAAUAUAUUCAUCUUGACUAAAUUUGGUAGGAGAGUUGGUCUAAGAUUAGACUUAGCAAUUCCUGCAGACUAUGUAGCUUUAUGUGUGAGCCUUUAUUUUUCUUUGGGAGUUGUUAUUUUAUAUAUAUAUAUGUAAAAUAUAUUAUAUAUAUAUUUUACAUAUAUAUAUAAAUAUAUAUGAUAGUAUGAUAGAGUUAGUAGUUUUUUGACUUUGUUGUAAUAUUCAGAACUUUGGUCUUCAGAGUAGAAAAUAUCUAAUAAUCUUCAGUUCAUAGGAAUGUUACAUAAAAGGGAUUUAAUUAGAUUUAGUGUUUUUAGAAUUUAUAGUGUUGUGAUUUUGGAGUCAUUAUGUGUGUGUGUGUUUUGUGUGUAUUUGGAUCUAUAUCAUUUGAGGCAUCAAUUUUAUAGUCUAACAAUGAUUUUAUUGUUGUUUUUGUUUUUUGUUCUUGAUAGUGAAAGGAGCUAGGCUAAGAUUGAGUGUAGCAAAACCAAAGGCUGAUACUAAGAUACUUAAUGUGAAAGGCCUCCUUUUGAUUUUAAAUUUUUGUGCUUCUCUCAAACCCAGGCCUUUAUUCAGAAUCUGGAAGAAAAUGAAGAAGAAUCUUAAGCUAUAUAAUUUUUAAGAAUACCAUCAAAAUCAUAUUCUAAAUCUUGCUUUAAAAUAGAGCAAAACAUUACUUAAAUUUUUUUCAUUGUUUGUGCGUGUACAUCUGUCUCUCUCUUUUAUGUGUAUAGCAGACUUUACCUAAGUGUUAGAGUAAUGAUGAAUUGUAGAUCACUUUAGGAAACAGCUAGCCAGGCAGGGUGGUGCACACCUUUAAUCCCAACCACUCAGGAGGCUGAGGCAAGAGGAUUAAAAGUUUAAGGCCAGCCUGUGCAUUUUAGCAAGAUCAUGUCUCAAAAUAAAAGUAAACUGGAGAUAUCGCUCAAUGGAAAGUACCCCUGGGUUCAAUCCUCAGUACUGAGGGUUGGGGAGGGGGGAAUCUUAAAAUUUAGUUUUAGACAUCCCAGUUCACAAAAAGUCUUUGCCUAUUCACAUUGCCAGAUAAUUUUUUUAUUCAUUAUUUAUUGUUUUUAGUUUGGUAAAAUAUAUGCAACAAAAAUUUUAUAGUUUCAACCAUUUUUAAGUGUACAUUUCAGUAGCAUUAAAUGCAUUCAUAAUGUUACACAACCAUCACUGCUGUGUAUGUUCAGAACCUUUUCAUCAUCUCAAGCAGAAACUGUACCAACUAAACAACUUUUGCCAGGGAGGUUUUUACUGACUGAUCACUCCCACUAAGUGUCCAGAAUCUGGCAUUGUGUAUACAUUUCUUGACAGUUCAUGUCAUGCUGUGUAUACCUUAGCACAGGGCAUCAACAGUGUAACACAUUAAGCUUCCCAGAAAAUUCAGAGUGGGAAACACAUUUGUUUUCCUCUCCUGGAAUAUAUGCAGAUGUUAACAACAUUUUUUAGUGGAUUUGAAGUCUUUUUAAUAAGAAGGAGCAUAUUUAGUAGAGAAUUUGAAGGUUGGUAAUAGCCACCCCCCCUCCAAUUCUGACCCUGUCAUAUGAUAGAAGGAUGGUUUAAAUUAUUGUAAUUCCAUGAUCUGUUAGGUUCUUUUUGAGUGAUAUUUCCAUAUUAUUGUCAGCAUGGUUAAAAGGUGUAAUUAUUUAGGUUUAAGGGAAGUAUAAGUGGCUGCCAAAUUUGGCAAUAUUGAAGAAACAGCUACAUUUGUCUUUUCUAUUGUAGCUCAUGUGGAAAGGACAAUUUCAGGUACUGUGUAUGCUAACUUCUUCCUGGACAUCAGAAGGAAUCCAACUAAAACAAAUUUUAAAACUAUUUCAGAUGUGCAAGUCUCUUGAAGCCAAUAUUUUAUUUUAGAGGUUUGUGUUAUGUUUGACAAGCAACUCUGUACCGCAAUUCUAUGACUUUCAAUUAAAAAAGUGAAAAAGAAACUGCUGUGAUGUCGUUUUUCUGCUUAAUUAUGUUACAUUCAUUUGUAAAAUUAGGCAGAUUAAUAAGUGAGUAUAAAUGUGCAGUGCUUUUUGCAAAAAAUAUUUUAAAUAAGAUUAAUGGUUCCAUUUUUUGACAAAAUAUUUUAUGCUAUGCUAGAUCAACAAAUGCUGUAAUGAGCAGAUAUCAACAUUUGUUUAUUUAUUUUUUUCUUCUGACAUUUCCAGAAGAUCUAAGAAAAACAUGGAAGGGCUUUCUUAGUACAUAUAUUGUUGUGUGAGAUCAUAUUAAAAAUAUACUUUUAAGAAAUAAAGUAUAUUGUUUUUUGUAUAAUUUGAGCAGUUAAAAAAUGAACUGUCACAGAUACUAAAACUUGGUUCAACAUACUAUAUUUGACUCAAGUGUUCAUAGACUGUGAUACAAACAAAUGUUCUCUCCACUUACAUUCAGGAUAACUAAAAUAUUACUUUAACACAUGUUAAAAGUAGAACACUGUAACUAUUUGGCUAGAUAUAAUUCCAGGCUGUCUAUGUUGAGUAAUUUCCUCAGGCAUUCCAACUUUGAUCAACCACAGCAAGAACUUUUAGCAUGUCUGUAAAGCAGCCAGUGCAUCUGUAAAUAUGUCCUGAGGAAGAGAGAAAAGAGGGAAUGCCAAAAAAGAAAGAAUACUUUGUGUCGUUAAGGAGCAGUUACAGAAUGAAAAUGGAAAGUAUUUUAUUUCCUUAGAAACCCUUUUUAGAUAAUUGAACCUCUGAUUUCUAAGUAUGCCCUGUAGUUCUGUAUUAAUGAAUGAAAGAUACUUCAUUUGGGCCCAAUAAAAAUAUUUUCUGACUAACUCUGCUGAAACUUAUUAAAGUACAUUGAUUCUUGAACUUUCUACUCUUUAUAAAUGUAAGAAUUGAAUAAAACCCAAAUGUAAUUAAUAGUAUGUGUUUCAGUAAAGUGUGUUUUAAUGUUUAUAAUUGUUCAGUAUUUGGGUGAAAAUGUUUACAUAUGGCUGAGUUUUCAAGAAUAACUCUAAGAACAGGCAGUACUACUGAAGAAACUUUUUUUUUUUUUCAACACAUGGAUGAAUGUAGAUUUUUUUGAUUUUUAUUUUCAGUGACCUAAAAAUAAAUGUGCAAAUAGCUACUGGUUUCCAUAUGUAAACAUGGACUUAAGAAUAUUAAUAAUGGUAAAUCACCCUCUCCUGUAUGAGAAGUACAUAUUUUCUGUAUUUUUGGAUAUAACUUGCUCAUAUCAUGGAUAUAACUUCCUGGAGAUAUUUUAAGAUACAGUUAACAAUUACUUGCAAACUGGAUAUUCAAUUGGAUGAUCUAUCUAGCUUUUUACUAUGUUAACAACAGAUACUAUUACCUCUAAUGAAUUAGUUCCAGUUCUGAAAAUUCUGCUUUAUAGAACCAAAAUUUAGGAGAAAUUCCUAAUCGUCUUUGGCUUUCAUGUUGUGAUCUCAGUUAUUGUCCAUAUUCUUUAAUUAUUUAUUCCUGAGGAAUAAGGUUAACACAGUUAAAUAAAAUUUACUAAUAAAAAACAUUUGCCAUAAUUUCAUUGAAAGUUUAUUCAGAACAGAACAAAUGGCACUGUAACUGGUAGAUUUAUAUCUUUCAAGUCCUUCUCCUGUAUCUUAAAAGAAGUGUAGAGAAAUGAUGAAUGGAAAAGCUGGGAGAGAAGAUAGAGGGGCAGGUUCAUUAAUUGUGGUGUUCAUGGAUGGGUGCUUGAAUAGAUGUCUGAGUUGGUUACUGUAUUAGUUUUAUGUCAUUAUAGCAAAAUACUUGAGGCAGAUAACUUUAUCAAAAAUUUAUUAAGUUCACAGUCUUCAAGGUUCAAUGGCAUGGCACCUUCAUUGGCUCAGUUCCUGGUGAAUAGUAGGUGGCAGUAGUAGGAAUGCCUUUUGGAUCAAGUGAUCAUAUCUCAAGCCAGGAAGGAGGGAGAGCUGGGAGUAGCCGAACCCCAAUUUUUAAAGCGACCUUCCCAGAGAAGUCCUGUGGGAACUCUCUUCUGAGGUAAUACCACCAAUGACCUAAGGAUCUCCUCCCAGGCCCUACCUCCAAAGGUUUCAUUACCUACCUUCCUGUAGUAUCACCCUGCAAACUAAGCCUUCAAUCAUAAUAGACCCUUGGGGAACACUUAAACCACAUCCUGACUACAGCAGUUACCUUGUUAGUGUUUCUGUGUUUACCUGAGAAUUUUUCUUCAAAUAUUGUUCAUCUGAAUGCCAUAGUUUAUUCAAAAUAUAUUACUUAUUUAUCUUUUCUGCCUACUACCUUGGUUUUAAAGUCUCUAAAGUACACAGGGAGAACAUAAGAGCCAACUUUUGCCUUUCUGGUGGCUGGUUCUCUAAUUUAUAGAUAUGUAUUUUUAAAUAAUUAUUUUACCUUAUUAUUUCUUUGCCAUUUUUUUGCAUGCUACCAUGCUCUUCCUUUAUGUAUGUAUUCUUGUGUUUAUUUAUUUGCUAUUAGUUUCAAAGAACAUCAUGUUUUAUUGGUUAUCUUGAUGAAGACAGUCACAAGUUGUAGAGGAAAGUUGUCUUACAUUAAUGGCAUUUGAGAAAAAAAUACCAUUAUAUUUUGUCAGUCUUUUCCUGUAGAUUUUGGGUAGUAGAUUUUGGGUAGAAAGCCCAUUUGACUCAUUUUGAAGAGGCAGAGAAAGUAUUAUAGAUUCUGUUUAUUGUAGUCAGAAGAUAUGUGACAUUUCUGACCAUUAACCUGGUUCUUCUUAGUAAAGCUUAAUUAACAUGGUAUUUAGAUUGCAACACAGAUGAAAUGACUUACUUCCCUCUUUUCUAUUUUUUUAGGUAGUUAUAUAUAUUCAAUGUUUGAAAUAUUCAAGUAAGCAUGAUAAUGAAACCAUGAUCUAUUGUUACAAGUGGCAUUUGUGUGAAAGAACUGUUUUGUCCAAAAUCUGCAUUGCAUGGAGAAUUUAGAAUUUACCUGAGCAAAAAGCUCAGAUUUUGCAUUGCAGAAGCUUGAGACCUCCUUAACCUUUACAAAAAGAUGUAGGCCAGAGGUUGCAAAGAGACAAUUCACAGAUGUGUGUGAAUUGGCCCAUAUACUAGUUUUUAAAAGUUGGAAUUUAUUGUCAUCCUUUAGUAUUCAAGAGACAUAAAAAUAUGGAUUUCUGAUUAAAAAAAAAAAAAAAAAGAUCUGGCCACAUGGAACAUGCAUUCUUUUAGGGCUGCAGUUUGCCAGGGCUGAGUGACAGCUGGCCCUUCAGUGUAGGAGUUUUUGAGUAUAACUUAACACUGUAUUUCAGUUUAGGUAUGACUGAAAAUAAGUCUUGGACAGAGAUGCCAACUUUUGCAAUCUUGUGAGGGCCAAGAAAAUGAGUUGAUGGCUUAACUGACAUUAGUUUAAUGCUCUGGAGGUUGCAAAUUGUUGUAACAGAGACUUCUAUUUUUUUCCCUGCUCCGGUGCUGAGGUAGCGAACCUAGGGCCUUGUGCUUACUAGGCAAGUACUCUACCACUGAGCCACAUUCCCAGUUAUUAAUAGGGAUUUCUACCAGAACGUAAAACUGUAAUAAGUUUUGAUGUAAUUUUUUUAAAGUAGGAAUUGGGUAUUAGUGUUACUUUAUUAUUUUAUUAUAUAGAAUUAUAAUAUUAUAUAGAAUUUCAGGUGAAACUAAAAGACUUUUCAAAAAAUUUCUUAUUGGAGCAGUUGAACCAAUACUAAAGCAGAUCAAAAUACCUUCUGACCCAAGUUAAGUUUGGACCUUUAAUUUCCUAAAUUGUUCCUUUGUUUACUUCUAGUCCCAGGAGUAAACUACUAUUUUCAGUGUUUAUGGUGAAGAACAUACCAUAAGUCCAACCAUGUUGCAUUGAUCUCCAAACUUUUGCUAACCUCCUUAAUGAUAGUUAACUUCCAACAUCAUUUAUUUUAUCUUGAUUCCAUUAUUAUUCCUCCUCCUCCUCCUCCUCCUCCUCCUCCUCCUCCUUCUUCUUCUUCUUUUUGGUGAUACUGGGGAUUGAACCCAGGUCCUUGUGCAUAUUAGGCAAAUGCUCUACCACUGAGAUACAUCUUCACUUGUCUAUUAUUUCUUAAUGGAAAACAUACUAAUAAAAAUCAUUGAGUUGCAUAUAAUAUUUAUAUAAUGGUGGUGCGCACCUGUAAUCCCAAUAACUCAAGAGGCUGAGACAAGAGGAUUGCAAGUUUGAGGCUAGUCUCAACAACUUAGCCAGACCCUGAGCAACUUAGUGACACCCUGUCUAAAAAUAAAAAAUAAAAACGGAUAUAGGUCAGUGGUAAAGUGUCCCUGGGUUCAAUCCCCAGCACCAAGAUACCAAAAACCAGAAACCCCCCCCCCCCAAACAACAACAACAAAAAAACUCCCAACAACCCCAAAUCUAAAACCAAAAAAGUCUGAUAAGGCAUCUCUGAUGAUUGCCCAGAAGCUUGCUAUGUCCAUUUACCAGUGACUCCCAUUUUACUUAUGUUUUUCCAACCCUUCUAAUUUUUUUUCCGCUGAAAGGUGAAUCCUGGUUUCAGAGCACUUAGCUUUUAUAUUUUCUCAUAGCUCAUUUGUAGCUUUUUAUCCCUGUCACUGUCCUGAUGCUAAUAGAUACCUUUACAAGCUUUCUCAAGAUGUGGUUUGUGGAGAAAGUGAAAUUAAACAGCUUGUGGAGUUCAUUUAAAUUUGGAGUUUCUCAAGAGGAGGAGCCUGGGCCAGCAGAAUCAUAAUCAUUUGUGGUAACUUAUUGGCAAAAAAAAAAAAAAAAGAAUAUCCUUUAGUUUCAACUCACAUUACCGAAAUCAGAAUAUUUAGGGAUAUGAGAAUGGGAAUUUUCAUUAUUAUUUUUUAAAUUUUGAGUUAAUUAUAAAUACCUGCAGUCAUAAGAACUAAUACAGAAAUUCUUUGGACCCACAGCAGUAAUAGUCUUUAAGAAAUUUGCAUGUUAAAAAUUUUACAUUAUAUUUUCAAAAGUUUUUGAGCAUAGCAUACAUACAGAAAAAUAUAAUGCCUUUUUUAUAAGUGGACAGACCCAUGAGUUUUUCAGAGUGAACAUAGCCCUGUGUCAGCAGCAUCCCAGAUCAGGAAACAGAACAUUUCUGCUCUGUAAAAGAUCCCUUGUUCCCUCUUCCAGUCACCCCAGGUAAGAACAGUGUUCUUACCUCUAUUCCUAUAUGUUAAUAUUGCCUGUUCUAGAAUUUCACAUAAAUGAAAUCAUACAGCAUGUAUUCUUUUGUUUCUGCUUUGUUAAAUUGAGGUAAAGAUCACAAAGCACAAAAAUAACUAUUUUAAAAUAAAUAAUUCAGUGAUUUAAAAAUUUCAUUGUUAUAAAACCACCAUCUCUCUCAUUCCAAAUAUUCUCAUUUCCUUAAAGGAAUUCUCAUAACUAUUAAGCAGUUCCUCUCUGUUGCCCUCUUUUCUUUUUUUUUUUUUUUGAAAUCAAAUUAAAUCAAGAUUGUAUUGUGUACACAAAAGCUGGCCAGAACUGUCUCUUACAAAACUCCAUGCUAGAGAUCACCCCCUGAUCUUCAGGAAAAAGUUUUCACAGCACAAAAUGUUACAAAGAAGGUGGGUGUCUCGGGUACUAUACAGCUAACAAGAUUUUGACAAGCAUAAAACAAAGGCAGAUAGCAGGUUAAGGAUCUACAUGUCUCAACAUUUCAAGGUAGGGAAUAAAUUCAAUUCCAGACAUUAGAAUUUAUGAGCUGCCACUGAGAUUUAGAGAGAGUUAUUAUUUGGUCAGUGGGAACCAGGACUUAUGAGGCACCAGUAAGGUUUUAGAGAGGGUUGUUAUCUGGUCAGGGAUAGCCAGGCAUAGGUGAAUUCAAAGCACAGGUAGAUAUUCCAAACAAGUUUAAAACAUCAAAAUAUUGUCAGGCCAAAGAGAAAUUUUAGUUUUCUUACAGAAAACAAAAAAUAAACUUUUUAUAGCUUUUUGACAAGAUGUCUCCCAAUCUUAUACUGGAAUUAUGCUGGGUUCAUGAUUAAUACUGUGUUGCCCUCUUUUCUACCUCCUGGCAAUCCCAUUCUGCUUUUUAUCUUGAUGGAUUUACCUAUUCUGGAUAUUUUAUAUAAAUGCAAUCAUACAUUUUGUAUGACCCCCCCCCUUUUUAACUUAGCAUAGUGUUUUUGAGGGUGAAGCACAUUUUAACAUGCAUUAGCACUUUUUUUUUUUGAGGAGUAUUCAGCAUUACUUAUGUGUAUAUGUUUAUCCAUUCAUCCAUUGAUGAACAUUUGGGUUAUUUCCACAUUUUGGCUAUUGUGAACAAUAUUGCUAAUGAGUGAUCUUGUACAAGUAUUUAAACACUUGUUUUCAAUUCUUUUGGGGAUAUACCUAUAGGUAGAAUUGCUGGUAAUUUUAUGCUUAGCUUUGUGGAAGCACCACAUCAACUGAAUGAACCAUUUUACAUUCCCAGCAAUAAUGUGCAAGGAUUAUAAUUUCUGUAUAUGCUUGCCAACCUUAUUAUUAAUUUCUAUUUUGUCCUUAGGCCAUCCUUGUGGGUAUGAAGUGGUAUCUCAUUGUGGUUUUGAUUUUCAUUUCCCCAAUGUUAAUGAUGUUGAAUAUUUUUAUAGGCUUGUUGGCCAUUUGUAUAUCUUCUUUGAGUAAAUGUAUGUUCAUCUCUAAUCUGUUGCCUAUUUUUAAAAUUGGGGUUUAAAAAAAAAUUUGGAUGUUGAAAGUUAUAGGAACUCUUUAUAUAUUCUGGAUACUAGACUUUCUGGAUAUUACACUUUUAUUUAUUUAUUUAUUAAAUCUGAAAUUAAAACAAAAGUAAAAAAUUAUAAAACACUUGUAGUCUUUUUCUUCUCUUUUUAGCCCUCUGACUUUGUCUGGUUUAUGUUUCAUCAUCAUGUUUUCUGCUGUCUAAUAUGGCAUCUAAAGCACAGUCAGUCUUCAUAUCCAUGAGUUCUGCAUCAUCAGAUUCAACCAAUUGCAAAUUAAAGAUACAACAAAAAAUUGUAUCUGUACUGAACAUGUAUAGAUUUUUUUCUCUUUUCAUUCCCUAAAUAAUAGAGUGUAACAACUAUUUACAUAGCAAUUACAUUGUAUUUGGUAUUGUAGGUCAUCUAGAGAUGAUUUGAAAUAUAUGGGAGGAUGUGCAUAGAUUAUAUGCAAAUGACGGACCAUUUCAUAGAAGGAACUUAAGCGCACAUGGAUUUAGAUGUGGGGGGAUGUACUAAAACCAGUUAUCCUUGGGUACCACUGGACAUCUGUAUUUAAUUUUCUUCCCUUCUUCCCCUUCCCCUUCCCCUUCCCCUUCCCCUUCUCCCUCUCCUUCCCCUUCUCCCUCUCCUUCCCCUUCUCCCUCUCCUUCCCCUUCUCCCUCUCCUUCUUCCUCUCCUUCUCCUUCUUCCUCUCCUUCUCCUUCUCCUUCUCCUUCUCCUUCUCCUUCUCCUUCUUCGCUGGGAUCAAACCAGUGAGCUGUAUCCCCAGCCUCUGUAUUGAAUUCUUUAUUAUCUGUCUGCCUUAGCUAGAAUUGAGGCUCCAUCUAGGCAAGGAUUUUUUUUUUCCUUCCUGUUUUGUUAACUGUUGUAUCCUCAUGAUUUAGAUCAAGGUUUGGCAAAGUGUGAUCAGAAACCUAAACAGAACUUCUGCCUAUUUUUGAAUGGCUCAUAAACUACUAAUGGUUUUUAUUUUUUAAAAUAAUUGAAACAAAAUAAAAAAGAAGACCAAUAUUAAAUUUCAGUGUCCAAAUUAGAGUUUUAGUUGAACACAGCCAUACCCAAUCAUUGGUGUAUUAUCUCUGGCUGCUUUUUUCCCGUAGUCACAAAGUUGAGUGGCUGUGUGAUUCACAAAGCCUGAGUUAUUUAAUGUAUGCGACCCCUUAUAGAAAAGAUUUGCCUGCACAUAGGUGCUCAAUAAAUAUUUGUUGAGUGAAUGAAUCUUAAUCUGUACUGCUAUAAGGAAUUUAAUUUGGGAAACUUUAAACCACAUAAUUCUUGAACCUAAUAGAGUAUUCUUCUUCUUCUUUUCUUUUUUUUUUUUUUCCUCUCAGGCCAAUGCAUAUGCUUACACAAAUAUUUUACCACUGAACUACUUCCCUAGUCUGUUUCUCUUAUGUAAAAAUAUUUCAAUAAAGUUUGUUUCAAAGACUAUCUUUCCCCUUUCUCAUCAUUUCUGAUGCUGAUUUUCAGUGGAGGUCAUAAUUAAAAUAAUUUUGAUAACAUACUUAGUUUUGAGAAAGAAGCCAUGUUAUCAUAAAUUUUUCUAUAUUUUAUUCAUUUAAUGAUGUGUUUGUUGAAGUUACACUUGAGUGACAGGGUAUGAACAGGAACAUAUUAGUAAUUUCCUGUUAAUGUCUAACUCUCUUUAAUGGAAAAUUGGAAAUUGGACAAACAAAUCAUUUUAUGUAAAAAUGACUUUAUAAUGUGCCAGUCUAAUUUUUGUACAACAUUUGAAAACUAAAUUGUUUGCAUCUGUAAGAGCUGUUAAUAGAGGUUACAUAAUAGAUCCCCAGAGGUACAGUAUACUCUGUAGCUUUGCAAAAAGUUCUUAUUUUGUUUUAUGCUUUCAGCAAAGGACAUUAAAUGGGUAAUACAGGUUGUGGGUUUAUAGUAAAAGAGUAAUGCUUUACAGAUCUUUGCCUUGGCAUGGUGUUCCCAAAUUUUAUUAAUAGGAAAGUGUUUCCAUGUCAUGGUGGGAGAGUGAUUCCUGACUUGCCUCUUGGUCUUCCCUUCCUCUCCUUGGUAGAUUAGUCAGUCAAAGGGAUCUUAUUUUUUAAAAGCUUGUCUCCUUUAACAGUUAUGAGUAAGCUUAAAAUAUAUUUUACUUUUAAAAUGCCAUCUUUUAGAAACUUAAAACGCUAUGGCAUGAAUUUAUUUCAUUUCUCUUGUUUUGAUCAAGAGAAGAUUAAAUUGUUAACAUUCCUUUGUAUUUUCCUGGCAUUUCUCUGUAGGAGUAUCCUGUAAGAAUUAGUAAGUAUCAUUUGCUUUUGGGGUUUUAGUUCACAAUAAUAAAUAAUUCUAUUUGUACCUAAUUGUGAUUAACUUUUAUUCAAUUAUUCUGCAAAUAUUUCUUGAGUAUCUACCAGGUGCCAAGCAUUGCUUUAGACAUUGACAUGCAAUAUCUCAAAAAACAUAUUCGUGAGUUUAUGGAUCUCAUAUCCUAUGAGGAGGAUUAGAAAAACAAAAAUUAUAAUAUCAGGAAAUGCACCAAGAACAGUGUGAUUCCUGUGUAGUAUGGGAGAAGAAUAGGUGGGGAGUAAGUUGGGAGAGGGAGAGAGAAGUCAGAUUGUGGAACGCUGUAAACCUUAGAAAUUUGGACAUCAGGUUUUAUUCUAAGUCUGAUAGAACAUCAACAUAGAGUUUGAAUAGCAGUGUAAUAAUGUCUGACAGAUUUUAAAAGGAUCACUGGCUACAUACUAAUUCUAUAUAAUGUCACAUGAGAAAAUCAACAAAUGACUAUUUAAAAAAGUUUAUGUCUAUUAUUUAUAAGGGGAAAGUUACUAUAUAGGGUGAUUCAUUUAUGUCAAGUAUUGGUAUGCUACUUUUUUAUCAGCUUCAUUGAAGUUUAAUUUUUUUUCUCCUUGCAGUACUGAGGAUUGAACCAGGGCCUCCUCAAUACUAGGCCAUGCCCUACAUCCCCACCCCUUUUUAUUUUACUUUGAGUUGAUCUCACUAAGUUGCCCAGGCUGGCCUUAAUCUUGGAAUCCUCCUGCUUUGGCCUCCUGAGUUUGCUGAGAUUAUAGGUGUGUUCCAUCAUGCCUGGCUUGAAGGUAUAAUUUAUAGCAAUUUACCAAUUUUAGGUAUACAAUUUGAUAAGUUUUUACAAAUGUAUAUAAUCAUAUAAUCACCAAUACAAUCAUAAUAUUUAAUAUUUUCAUCAACACAGAAAUUUUGUUGUACUUGUCUACAGUGUUCUCCCCUUAGCAACCAUUUGGCAACCACUGUCUGCUUUUUUAUCACUGUCAGUCAGCUUUUUUCUAGAUUUUGUUACAGAUAGAAUCAUAUAAUUUGUGGUCUUUUAUGUCUGGCUUCUUUUACUUAGAACAAUGCUUUUGAGAUUCCUCCAUAUUUUGAGGCAUAUUAGAAAUUGUUCCAUUUUUUUGCUCAGUAGUAUUCAAUUGUUUUAAAAUAUCCCAUUUUUUUAAUGCAUUUACUGGUUAAUGGAGUUUGGGUUGUUCCAGUUUUUGUAUGUUAUGAAUAAAGCUGAAAUGAAUAUUUAAAUACAGGUGUUAAUGUAGACAUAUGCUUUCAUUUCUCUUGGAUAAAUACUUAGGAGUGGAGUUGCUGAGCCUAUAGUAAAUGCAUGUUUAACUUUAACAAAAAUGGCUAAACUGCAUUUGUAUUCCCAUUAGCAAUGUAUAACAGUCAAGUUGCUCCAUAUUCUUGCUAAUACUCAAUAUGGUCCGUUUCUUUAACUUUAGCCAUUUUAGUGCUUAUAGAGUGAUAUCUGGUGGUUUUAAUUUGCAUUUCCCUAAUGUCUGUUAAAAAGAUUAUGAUUAUGAUUAUGAUUAUGAUGAUUAAGAUGAUAAGGUAGACUUUAUUUAAGGGGGAACUUUAUUACAAUGGAUAUAGGUCUAUUGCUGUAGAAUUUUGCACUGAGGGACAGAAAUUAACUUUGAAUUCAGCAUGGGCAUGUGGGAAUUGAUAGCCAAAGAGCAGAGUUGGGGUCAGUGGAUGGAAAAUUACCAACAGGAAACAUAAGGGACAGGGCAGAUUCUAGCUAACCCAACAUAAUGGGAUUCUUGCUGGAGGCUUUCAUUUUAAAGGCCUCAUGAAGCUUGUUGUUACCUUCUUCAUUUCAUAGUGGGCUAUUUCCUUUUGAAUGCUCACAGUAUUUAUUGUUUGUAUCACUCAUUUUCUAUUUGUUAUUUUCUAUUCUGUAAUCUCAUUUUGAUUCCUGCUUUCAAAUCUCUGACCCCUUUGCUUAAGUUAUAUUGGAAAUGGUCUUAAUGUCAUGGUCACUUUUUCUUGGAUCUGACAGAAAUUCAGGAAACGGGAUGUUUGUAGAUGAUUGUGAAUAUUUGGUAGUAUUUGGUAAUCUUUUAAGUUAAUCCAAAAUUUCCUGGUUUUGUAGAUUAUGUUGGUCUCACCUUAGAAUGGACCCAGUUUUCUGGAUUACUUCCAAGUUUUUGGAAUGUGAGAUAGUGUUUUGCAUAUUAAACAUAUUACUUGUUAUUUUGGAACAGACUCUAUGUCUGUUCAGUGCCCUAAGGAGUGUUCAAUCCAAACUUAACUAUCUUUCUUUUCUAAAGAUUGAAUCUUAGAAUGAAUGUCUCUAAGACAUUUAUUUUUAUUGUAAUAUUUUACAUUAGCUUUUUCCCACUCUUCUCUGGUUGAAGAUCAAGUAUGACAUGGUCUUGAGCGACAUGACUUGGUAUAUAUUUUUUAGAACUAUUCACAGUAUUGGAACAAAAAAGUAGUGUUUUUCGUUAGACUUCAUAUAAGUUGCUGACCUCUAAUUCCAGGCCUUUUUGUUCUGUUCAACAUAUUGCCUUAUUCUUUUCUUCUUUAUAAUUUUUUAAAAAUUCGGAAUUUGCCCUCUUUUAGUAUACAGUUCAAUUGUUUAAUGUAAAUUUUCAAAGUUUUAUAACCAUCAUCACUAUCUAGUUGAUUUAUUUUCACCAUGUCCAAAUGAAAUAUUGUACCCAUUAGCAGUUAUUCUCCAUUCCUCCUUCUCUCCAGUCCCUGGUCACCAUUAAUCUACAUUAUAAAUUUGUCUAUUCUGAACAUUUCAUUUAAAUGGAAUAAUCUAAUACAUGGGUUGUUUUGUCUGGCAUCUAUCACUUGGCAUAAUCUUUGUAAGGUUCUUCCAUAUUGUAUCAUGCAUCAUUACGUUUUAGUGCUAAUUAAUACUCCGUUGUAUAGAUACAUCAUGUUUUGUUUCUUCAUUUAUCAAUUAAUGAACAUUUUUUGAGUUGUUUUCAGGUUUCGUUUAUUAUAAUAUUUAACUGCUUUAAAUAUCCAUGUAUUUGUUUUGGGUAGAAAUGUUUUCAUUUCUCUUGGGUAUACAUGCAAUUGCUGGGUCAAAUAGUAACUCUGUGUUUAACUUUGUGAGGAGCUGCAAGAUGUUUUCCAAAUUGACUGCAUCAUUUUACAUUCCCCUCAGCAGUAUACGAGGAUUGUCAUUUCUCUACAUCCUUGCCUCCAUGUGUUAUUAUCUGUCUAGUUAUAGUUGUUCUUUUGGGUAUGAAGUAGUAUUUAAUUGUGGUUUUAUUUGCCUUUUUAUGAAGACAAAUGACAUUGAAUGUCUUUUUAUGUGCUUACUGGUUAUUUAUAUAUCACCUUUGGAGAAAUGUUAAUUGAUAUCCUUUGUACAUUUUAAUAUUGUUUUCUUUAUUUUAGUGUGACAAGGAUUUGUUAUACAUUCUGAAUACAAGUCACUGAUUGGAUAUAUGACUUGUAAAUUUUUUUCCCAUUUUGUCAAUUUUUAUAACUUCCUUUGAAACACAAACAAUUUUAAUUUUGAUGAAAUUCCAUUUAUCUAGUUUUUUCUUUGGUUGCAUGUACUUUUGAUUACAUAUCUAAGAAACUAUUGCCUAAUUCAAGGUCACUAACACUUGUCCUUAAGUUUUCCUCUAAGAAUUUUAGAGUUUUAGCUCUUAAUUUUUGACUUUUGAUCCACUUUAGGUUAAUUUUUGUGUAUGGUCAGAGUUAGAGGUCCAACUUCAUUUUCUUAUAUAUAGAUAACUAGUUGUACCAGCACCCUUUAUUUAAAUGACUAUUUCUUUUUUUAUUGAGUUGUUUUUUCAUUCUUAUUGAAUUAGCCAUAAAUGAAGGGCUUAUUUGUGGAUUGUCAAUUCAAUUGCAUUGGUCUAAAUGUCUACCUAUCACUGAUUACUAUAAGUUAUAAACCUAGAAGUGUGAAACAGAUCUGUCCUUUUCAAGAUAAUUUUAGCAAUUCUUGGUUCCUUGUAUUUCUAUAUGAAUUUUAAGAUUAGCUUGUCAAUUUCUGCAAAAAUGGCACCUAGGAUUUGAUAAGCAAUUGUGUUGAAUUAAAUCAAUUUAAAGAGUAUUGUCAUUGUAGCAAUAAUAAAUCCUCUGCUCCAUGUACAUUGGAUGUACUUCUAUUUAGGUAUUAAAUUUUGUUGACAUGUUUUAGAGUCAUGUUUUAUAAUUUUUAUGCUGCAUAAAAUUAUACUACUUUUGUUAAUUUAUUCUCAACUAUUUUAUAGUUUUUUAUGUUGUAAAUUGAUUCUUAAUUUUAUUUUUGGAUUGGUCAUUGCUACCAUAUAAAAGUCAAUUUGAGUUUUGUAUAAAUUGAUUUUAGAUCCUACAAUCUUGCUGAACUUAUUAGUUCUAAUAGUAUUUUUAUGGAGUCCUUAGGACUUUUUAUAUACAAAAAACGUGUUAUCUUCAAAUGGAGAUAAUUUUACUUCCUCCUUUUCAACCUAGUUGCUCUUUAUUUCAUUUUCUUGCCUAAUUGUCUUACUAGAUUGUUCAGUAUAUUGUUGAAUGGAAGUGGUGAGAUUGAGCAUCCUGUCUUGUUCCUGAUUUUAGGGGAAGUAGUUGGUCUUUCCAUAAUGUUAGCUCUGGACUUAGGUUCCCUUUAUCAUGUUAAGGAAGCUACUUUGUAUUUCCAUUACAUUGAGUGUUUUGGGUUUUGUCAGGUACUUUUUUUUUUUUUUAUACGGUUAUGCUUUUUAUCCUUUAUUUUGUUAAUAUGAGGUAUUAUAUUGUUUUUCAGCUAUUCAACCAAUCUUCCUUUCCUGGUAUUCUUCUUUUUUAUAAGAUAAUACCUUUUUGAUAUUGUGCUGGGUUUAGUUUGAGAUUUUUGUGUCAAUAUUUACAAGAUAUAUUAAUCUAUAGUUUUCUCAUUAUACAUUUUUCUUGUUUUGUUAUCAGGGUAGAACUGGCAUCAUACAAUAAGUGGGGAAGUGUUUUCUCACUUUCUAGUUUUUAGAAGUUUAUCAAGGAUCGGCAUUAAUUCUAUUUUAAUACUAAUGGCAUUUUAAUUUUAAUUUUUGUCUUUUAGGAUUCUCCUUUUACAAAUGCAGGAAUGGGAUCUAACCUAAAUCUCUUAGGGGAAAUUGAGUGUGAUGCCAGCAUAAUGGAUGGAAAAUCCUUAAAUUUUGGAGCAGUUGG
Molecule: long non-coding RNA, 16591 nt
Filed under: Marmota monax (woodchuck)
Lineage: Eukaryota; Metazoa; Chordata; Mammalia; Rodentia; Sciuridae
Source: RNAcentral